Molecule: long non-coding RNA, 1279 nt
Filed under: Vulpes vulpes (red fox)
Lineage: Eukaryota; Metazoa; Chordata; Mammalia; Carnivora; Canidae
Description: lncRNA (ENSVVUG00000027645.1)
Source: RNAcentral
AUUAAAGUGGGUAGAGUAAAAGAUCUCAUUAGAAGUAAUUUCAUCGUUUCUUUUCACUGUUUAACAUAGGACUGUCAGAAAAACGUGAAAUUGUGCACGAGGCUCACGUCUGUGGCUUGCGGUAUGUUUUUAUCGGGUAAUGCGGCUCCAGAGAGUAAUCAUCAGUCUGGAUGGUUCCUAAAGUGAGGACGUCAAAAACGUGGACCAGAUCCUACAGCCAAUUGACGAUGGUGGCAUGACGUGAGCAAGUAAUACACGUUUGCUGUUUCACGCCUCUGGGGCUUGGGGUUGCUUGUUCUUGCCGUAUUGUUGCCCUCACCAUCCUGAUUGGGGUCGACGUGGAAAAAGAAAGGCAAACAGAAGGGAGCAUCCCGAAUAUUUUAUCCUCCGAAAUGUCCCCGAACGUCCACUUGGCUUCUUUAGACUCUUCAUCUCCAUGACCAACAAUCAGAAAUACGAGAAUCUUUUAGGAUUUUCCUAAAAGAUCCUUUUAAACGGACUCUGGUCUCAUCGUCAUUCAGAAGGACAAUGGCAACUCCAACAUCACUGUGCGGAUUUUUCUUUUUUGUCUAUGUCCCGACACCCAAGGAAGACCACUUUCUGGUUGUGUCGUCUUUGUAAAUGAGGUCAACAGAGGUCAGAAGACUCGUGCCCCAGUCGGGACAUUUGCUUCCUGCCACAGUGACCCUUGGAUAAACAGCCCGCUCUUUCAGAGACGUGUGCCUCAAAGAAGUUGACUGGACAAACUUUAAUUGACCAUCUCCUGCGGGGUUAUGCGGGCACAGAAAGGUCAAGACUCCAUCAGGCUCUCUGGGACUCAGCAUCUGUUUAUAAAGAUUAAUGCUCAUGAACUGCACAGAUGAUCACUGUGAUGAGAUUAUUUUUCCAUUUGCAGAAAAUCUCUUAACAAGUAAGAAAGUGGAGACAUUAAGGAAAGUCUAGAAAACUGACUUGAGGCUUGAUUUGUGCCAAAUGAACAACAAAAGAAUUUGAGCUUCUCUCUUUCCUUGUAGGCAAGUGGUUUAUUAGAGGGAGACUGGACAGAGGGAGCUUGUAGGACUGGGACUCAAAGGACAGGGAAAUCAGUUGGGGACUAUUGUAGCCUCUCUGUAUGGGAGGGGAUAGUGGGUGGGUGGCAGAGACAAGGAUGAGCACGGCUAUGUCAAAGGAAGAAUCCACAGAUGGUAGAGACUGAGUAAGACGGUGAGCAUUAGGAGGUACUCGGGGAGAACUGUAGGGUCUUGGUCCUGGGAGGAGAGCAGUUCCUUAAUAGAAAAAG